RNAcentral lists this ribosomal RNA (482 nucleotides) under uncultured bacterium. Its description in RNAcentral is "partial 16S ribosomal RNA". It matches the Rfam family "Bacterial small subunit ribosomal RNA", at positions 30 to 507 of the family's 1533-position model. The record is from RNAcentral.
AUUGAACGCUGGCGGCAUGCCUUACACAUGCAAGUCGAACGGUAACAGGUCUUCGGAUGCUGACGAGUGGCGAACGGGUGAGUAAUACAUCGGAACGUGCCCGAUCGUGGGGGAUAACGAAGCGAAAGCUUUGCUAAUACCGCAUAAGAUCUACGGAUGAAAGCAGGGGACCGCAAGGCCUUGCGCGAACGGAGCGGCCGAUGGCAGAUUAGGUAGUUGGUGGGAUAAAAGCUUACCAAGCCGACGAUCUGUAGCUGGUCUGAGAGGACGACCAGCCACACUGGGACUGAGACACGGCCCAGACUCCUACGGGAGGCAGCAGUGGGGAAUUUUGGACAAUGGGCGAAAGCCUGAUCCAGCCAUGCCGCGUGCAGGAUGAAGGCCUUCGGGUUGUAAACUGCUUUUGUACGGAACGAAAAGACUCUGGUUAAUACCUGGGGUCCAUGACGGUACCGGAAGAAUAAGCACCGGCUAACUACGUG